CAGUAGCCGCGGGAAUACGUAGGGUGCGAGCGUUGUCCGGAAUUACUGGGCGUAAAGAGCUCGUAGGCGGUUUGUCGCGUCGUCUGUGAAAUUCUGCAGCUUAACUGUAGGCGUGCAGGCGAUACGGGCAGACUUGAGUACUACAGGGGAGACUGGAAUUCCUGGUGUAGCGGUGAAAUGCGCAGAUAUCAGGAGGAACACCGGUGGCGAAGGCGGGUCUCUUGGUAGUAACUGACGCUGAGGAGCGAAAGCGUGGGUAGCGAACAGGAUUAGAUACCCCUGUAGUCCCUGUCUCUUAUAC
This 301-nucleotide ribosomal RNA is filed under the name uncultured bacterium. RNAcentral's name for it is "partial 16S ribosomal RNA". It matches the Rfam family "Bacterial small subunit ribosomal RNA", at positions 509 to 807 of the family's 1533-position model. The record is from RNAcentral.